RNAcentral lists this non-coding RNA (24 nucleotides) under Rattus norvegicus (Norway rat). Lineage: Eukaryota; Metazoa; Chordata; Mammalia; Rodentia; Muridae. The record is from RNAcentral.
UACUGCCUAAGGCUGUGAUGUAGA